UACAGAGGGGGCAAGCGUUAUUCGGAAUUAUUGGGCGUAAAGGGCGCGUAGGCGGCUUUGCAAGUGACGGGUGAAAUCCCUCGGCUUAACCGAGGAACUGCCUGUCAAACUGCAUGGCUUGAGACCGGGAGAGGUGAGUGGAAUUCCCAGUGUAGCGGUGAAAUGCGUAGAUAUUGGGAGGAACACCAGUGGCGAAGGCGGCAUCCUGGACCGGCAUUGACGCUGAGGCGCGAAAGCCAGGGGAGCAAACGGG
This 253-nucleotide ribosomal RNA is filed under the name uncultured bacterium. RNAcentral's name for it is "partial 16S ribosomal RNA". It matches the Rfam family "Bacterial small subunit ribosomal RNA", at positions 524 to 776 of the family's 1533-position model. The record is from RNAcentral.